RNAcentral lists this ribosomal RNA (411 nucleotides) under uncultured bacterium. RNAcentral's name for it is "bacterial SSU rRNA". It matches the Rfam family "Bacterial small subunit ribosomal RNA", at positions 64 to 507 of the family's 1533-position model. The record is from RNAcentral.
GAACGAGAAAGUGGAGCAAUCCAUGAGUAAAGUGGCGACCGGGUGAGUAACACGUGACUAACCUGCCCUUGAGUGGGGGAUAACCUCGGGAAACCGGGGCUAAUACCGCAUAACAUCGCAAGAUCAAAGGAGCAAUCCGCUGAAGGAGGGGGUCGCGGCUGAUUAGUUAGUUGGUGAGGUAACGGCUCACCAAGACGAAGAUCAGUAGCCGGCCUGAGAGGGCGCACGGCCACACUGGAACUGAAACACGGUCCAGACUCCUACGGGAGGCAGCAGUGGGGAAUUUUGCGCAAUGGGGGAAACCCUGACGCAGCAACGCCGCGUGGAGGAUGAAGCCCUUUGGGGCGUAAACUCCUUUCGACUCGGACGAUAAUGACGGUACGAGUGGAAGAAGCACCGGCUAACUCUGUG